GAUGAAGAACGCAGCGAAAUGCGAUAAGUAAUGCGAAUUGCAGAAUUCAGUGAGUCAUCGAAUCUUUGAACGCACAUUGCGCCCUGUGGUAUUCCGUAGGGCAUGCCUGUUCGAGCGUCAUUUCAACCCUCAAGCUCUGCUUGGUGUUGGGCCCUGCCCGCUGCGGCCGGCCCUAAAGACAGUGGCGGUGCCGCCUGGCCCUGAGCGUAGUACAUCUCUCGCUCCAGUGCCCGGUGGUAGCCUGCCAGAACCCCAACUCUCGUGGUUGACCUCGGAUCAGGUAGGGAUACCCGCUGAACUUAAGCAUAUCAAUAAGCGGAGGA
RNAcentral lists this unclassified non-coding RNA (323 nucleotides) under soil metagenome. Its description in RNAcentral is "partial contains 5.8S ribosomal RNA, internal transcribed spacer 2, and large subunit ribosomal RNA". The stretch from base 1 to 120 matches the Rfam family "5.8S ribosomal RNA", at positions 35 to 154 of the family's 154-position model. The record is from RNAcentral.